GGGCGAUUAGCUCAGCUGGGAGAGCGCCUGCCUUACAAGCAGGAAGUCGGCGGUUCGAGCCCGUCAUCGCCCACCA
Molecule: transfer RNA, 76 nt
Filed under: Pelotomaculum thermopropionicum SI
Lineage: Bacteria; Bacillati; Bacillota; Clostridia; Eubacteriales; Desulfotomaculaceae
Also listed under: 4 other names
Description: tRNA-Val (TAC) (tRNA-Val-TAC-1-1)
Rfam family: tRNA
About the family: Transfer RNA (tRNA) molecules are approximately 80 nucleotides in length. Their secondary structure includes four short double-helical elements and three loops (D, anti-codon, and T loops).
Source: RNAcentral